AUCUGUCUAUCUAUAUAUAUUUUUGUCCGUUAUGCCUUUGCUUCAAGUUCCCGUUGCGUUCCACAGCCGUCAUAUCCGUUUGCAUUUAGUGUAGGAGGCGGAUGUGGAUGCUCAAUGGAACGCAUGUGCGUUCCACAAACGAAGCACCCGAUCACAUAAUCGGUAAAACAGGAAUCUGAUGACGAACACAUCAAGAUGAACAGGAAGGCAAUUGCUUACACUAGAUGGAACGCAGGAUGCGUUGCACAGAGAAAAAUACCGCAAAUCUGUAGCAAAUGGACGGAUAUAAAAGAAUCACAGGGACUUUGAUGCACAGCAUACACCAACUGAGGAAGCCUAUUGGGCGAAACGCGUUUUGGUGACUAUUGGACUUUUAAUUAUGCUUUUGUUUUUUAU
This is a non-coding RNA of Pelobates cultripes (western spadefoot toad), 396 nucleotides long. NCBI's taxonomy places the organism in Eukaryota, Metazoa, Chordata, Amphibia, Anura, Pelobatidae. The record is from the annotation of a GenBank genome assembly.